Molecule: ribosomal RNA, 252 nt
Filed under: uncultured bacterium
Lineage: Bacteria
Description: partial 16S ribosomal RNA
Rfam family: Bacterial small subunit ribosomal RNA
Source: RNAcentral
UACGGAGGAUGCGAGCGUUAUCCGGAUUUAUUGGGUUUAAAGGGUGCGUAGGCGGACUGUCGAGUCAGCGGUAAAAUUGAGAGGCUCAACCUCUUCCCGCCGUUGAAACAGGUGGUCUUGAGUGGAUGAGAAGUACGCGGAAUGCGUGGUGUAGCGGUGAAAUGCAUAGAUAUCACGCAGAACUCCGAUUGCGAAGGCGGCGUACCGGCAUCCAACUGACGCUGAGGCACGAAAGCGUGGGGAUCAAACAGG